UGGGGAUUAGCCAAGCGGUAAGGCAACGGACUUUGACUCCGUCAUUCCCAGGUUCGAUCCCUGGAUCCCCAGCCA
RNAcentral lists this transfer RNA (75 nucleotides) under Paenibacillus mendelii. Its description in RNAcentral is "tRNA-Gln". It matches the Rfam family "tRNA". Rfam says of the family: Transfer RNA (tRNA) molecules are approximately 80 nucleotides in length. Their secondary structure includes four short double-helical elements and three loops (D, anti-codon, and T loops). The record is from RNAcentral. Lineage: Bacteria; Bacillati; Bacillota; Bacilli; Caryophanales; Paenibacillaceae. RNAcentral also lists the same sequence under 5 other names.